CUGAUCAAUUUUUUUUUCUUUAGGUUCUUCAGUUUCAAGAACUUUUAUAUCCUUUAAUACAAAAGGACUUUUUUGGGUAUUGGGGUUCUGUUGUAUUGGGUUGAUAGGAUUUUAAAAUGAUAUGUUUUGGUUAAGGAUGGAAAUGGUGGCUGUUUCUUGAAAAAUCAUUUUCAGUUUGAUUUGUUGCAGGAAUCUUUACCAGUAAAGUUCUCUUAUUUGAAAAAUGGGUAGAGGAAGAGGAAAGGCAAAGAAGCAAUCUAUUCGUGAGGAUCUUGUGACUGGUGAAGAAGAGAAGAUGCCAGCACGGAGAAGGGGAAGACCACAGAAACCAAAGGAUGAAAUAGAGGAGGAAGAAGGAAUUGAGAAGGUACUGGAUGAUGAAGAUGACAGCGAGAAUACAAAAGGUUCCGUCUUGAAUAAAGAUAUCAAGAACCAAGUAGCUGAAGAUGGAAAGAAGAGGAAGAGACCUUCCCAAGUCAUGGAAAAUAAGGAUUCUGUGAAAGAGGAAAAUGGAGUUGGAACUAAAACUAUCUCAAAUGACUUAAUAAAGUCAGUUGGAUUCAGACCGAAUGGUAGCAGAAGGAAAAACAAGCCUAGACGGGCUGCCGAAGUUGGUGUUGAGUGCAGAUGAAGGGUCCUCGUUGUGAUUGAGAACUGACUUUAUGAUUACUUACAUGUGCUUAUCUAUUUUAGUCCUGUUAUAAUUACUUCUUUUUGGAAAUUUCAACUUGAAUUUUGUGAUGAUUUCUGCAGCAAGUUUUAGUUCUACUGAAUGUAUUGCUGCUGAAUCCCUUUGACAAUUCUCUCAUUUUGCAUGUCUCAUCAAUAUCCAGA
RNAcentral lists this unclassified non-coding RNA (834 nucleotides) under Hevea brasiliensis (rubber tree). Lineage: Eukaryota; Viridiplantae; Streptophyta; Magnoliopsida; Malpighiales; Euphorbiaceae. The record is from RNAcentral.